CAGGACAGGACAAGCCAAAUACAGUUGAGACAGCUCUAGCUAAGCCAGAAAAUAGUUCUGAGCUUCAUUUCAGGUUUAUGUUCAAGUGGAUAAGGAGGCAAGCAUGGUAAAGGACCCAUGAAAUGAGCUAGUGAAGUUAGUCACCUUCUCACCUGUCCUUCCAUCCUGAGACAAGGUGACUUUCAGCUCUGUGGUGAAACUACUCCUUGAAGAGUUGCAAAGAGUCAGUAGGGCUCUCACCUGGAAAUGCUCAACCUCUGCAACGAGAUGGUGGAAGUGUGGAGGGAUGCAUACACAGUGUGGCGCAUUUGCUGCUUUCACUUUGUGCUCCUUGUCCCAGAAAUCAGUACGAGUUUUAGCUUUAAAUACAUGAGCUGCUUGCUUUGAAACUUGUUAGAUAUUUGCAUUUUCAUCUUCUUUUGUUAAUCAGUGGGAAAAAGGAAAGAGCUAGAGCUGUUUUUUCAGUUGCAGAUUACCGGGGUGUGCUUUGCAGACUGCCUUCUGAGGAAUGAGCUGUACGACUAUGUUGCUGCUGUAAGUUUAGGUAUUUUUAGAUCAGAGAAAUGUGUGGUGCUAGGCAGUGUUCCACAGUCAUCAAAACAACAGCUAUUACAAAAAGUCUUAAGCAAGCAAGAUGCAAACUUGAAACCCCAGUUGGAAGCAUCUAUCAAUAGACCACACCAAGCCCAGCCUAAGCCUGGAGCAAAAACAAAUUAGAACACUCAUCUUUCUUGAAAUCCUAUGAACGUAUUCUUAAAGUUUCCCAUGAGGUUUUGGAAAGCCAUUUUGUUAUGAAUAAUUUGAAAAAGUUUAGAUUUUCAAUGCUGUUUUUAGCCUAUCAGACAAGUACAAGCCUAUGACUAGCUACCACCCAAAGUCAGAUCAUCUAUAACUGGCCCACUAGGUUCUCGUUAUGGUGUUUCUUGAAGUAAAAUGUAAGUUUAGAUGCUUCUUUGCUUGUCUGCUAUUGCAUCCAGGGUGCUACAGAGACUUAAACUGCAAAAAUCACCACUUCAACAAGCAGUGUCUGCAGGCUGGGGAUACAUAAUAGCUUGCAAAACUCGUUUUCUGCAAGAAGCCCGGCUGUGGAUGAGUUAUUAAUCUCAUGCAUGUCUAUCCCUCCAUGUCAGAACACCCAGUGCUGUGCAUUAGCUGCAGACACAAGAUUCCUGACGCGUUUCCUACCAGCUUCUGGUAACUGAAGUAAGAGCCCACCUUGUUCUCCCUGAGUGGGUCGCUGUGUCCCCAGAUAAGGUGGGCUGUGUAAAUACAAAGACAGGGAAGCAGCAUUUGAACUGGCUAGUCUUACUAGAUGCUGGAGAAAGGAAGGACCUCCAAAGAGAUGUUUUGUUGCCUAGGGAUUUCAUGGUUUGCAGUGUAUACAUUUUUAAAUAGUCAUAGCAUGUUUCAGAGAAUGUCAUUUUAGAUGGGAUAAUAAUCCUAAUGGGAUUAUUUACUACUUUGAAUAGUAUUUAGGCUUUAAAUUGCAGUAAUUUGGUUUCAGUUCAUGUAAUCUUCUUGAUAAGCGAUGUUUAUUGUGUUUAUGUGUUCCUUAGUCAAUGGAAGUAGCAGUAAAUUCCCCAGCUGAGAAAGGGAAAUACUGUUUUAGGCUCUAACAUUUGUUAGAGCGGAAAAGCAUUUCCUAUCCAAUUACACGGACAUUUUGAAGGGAGUUUUUCUUCAGAUAUUCUCAUUGACAAGGAGGAACGAAGUCAAGCAAAGCUUGCUUGACUACAAACAGCAAAGCUAUUGUGGGUUCCUGUGUCAGGUCCCUUAGGGCAGGAGUCCAAGUGAAGUUUGUGACUUGAUAAAUGUGAUACAUUUCAGGUUGUAAGAGCCUGGCAGUAAUGACAGUGUGGAGAGGAAAUGAAUUUAGCCAGAAAAGAGAUUACAGAUAUGCAAGAAAGAAUACAAUGGAAAAAGCACUUCCUUUUCAAGCAGUCUGUGCAGUCAGUACCUGUCAGCAUUUGAACCUCCUGGUCAGCCAUAAAACAGUCUGUUCCAUAAACUCUGCUCACAUGCAGCUGGAGCAUCUUUCUCUUCUAAAAUGGUGUAAAACCUUGGAGCAUUUGCCAUGAUUUUAAGUGAAUCACUUGGCAUGCAUAAGGGCCUAAAUCAGAAUGAUACACAGUGAGGAAAUAUAUAAAACUGGGAAGCAAAGGGGCUGUGUAAUUACUGUAUGGGAGGUGUGUUUGUCUGCCUGGGUAGUUGCUCCUAUGUGGCAAUGUAGCAAGGUAAUCCUUCCUCUUUGCCUUUCAUUAAUUACUAAUGAACUGAAGAAAUUCACCACAAGCUCAUAACAUCAGAACUAAGGAACCAGUGCUGUGCAAAGGAAAAGUGCUGGCAGUAGAGAACCUGUUGCCAAAGAACAGAAAUGUUUAGCACAAUUAGGUAGUAUUUCUCUUCAGGAAUCAGUAAUGUUUGUGUCAUUCAGGCUAUAGAAUUUGUACAAGCUAGGGAAAAAAGCUCCUACUUCACUUAAUUAUAAAAGGGCAAUUCUUAUAUGAACUGUAUUGAGAUAGGAGUUAAAUUAUCCCAUGCUCCUUGAAAUCUACAAAUACACGUCAUCACUUAUUUCAGAUGAUAGGUAUUUUAAAGCUAAUUUAUUACAUCUGAAAAUGAUUUAUCAGUUAUAUAUGAUAAAGGAUGAAGUUUGUCUACUGAUUUUCUACAGUUAGAAGAAAUUUGUGAAUGGUAUUCCCAGUGUGAUUACAAAAAAAAAAGAAGCACAAAAUACAUCCAAAGGUGUAACAAAUAAUGUCUGUUCAAAAAGGUGAAUAACCUUGUUUUCAUUCAAGGUUUACCAUGACUCUUUUUGAAAAAAAUAGUCUAUUAACUUUUCCAUGUGUCAUGCGGAGCCUUGCUUAGAGAACCGGCAUUCUGAAGAUGUGUCAUGAUCUGUUACUCCAGUUGUCGUCAUCAGUUCAAAGACACUUUCCAUUUUACUAGUGAGGAAGGUGUCUGAGCACGCUUCUGUUGAUUUAUAUUUCAUGCUACAUUCACCAUUACAAGCUGUCAGGGAGAUGCAAGAGGUAUCUUUGUUCAGUCUAUAACAGACUGAAAAGAAGUCCUCAGGAAGGAAAAUCUGAGUAUGUUAAUACUGACUCUUCUACCACUAUUGCUUGAGCCAAACUGUGACACUAUAUGUAUGAAAACACUGCCUUUGUCUCAAGUGAAUCUUCCAAAAAUUCAUUGGUAGCUGAAUAAAGCAGACACCUCCUAACUAUUGAAAAACUGAGGUAGGAAGUUUACACGUAACAGGAAAAGGCAAAUUCACUGGGCUGUGUCCACAAAUGUAUGGCUGGGUCUGCAGGUGUUUCUUCAAUGCUUAUUGACCCUUUGCAGUAUCCUGUGAACGUGACUUCCAAAUCUGUGCUUCCUCUUGCUGGUGGGUUGUGUGACCUCAGAGCAUACCUCUGUGUACUCCUGGUUCUGUGGUUAGUCUGUGCAGCGGUUGGCGAGCUUCUCUCUGCACUUACCGCAUGCACGUGAGGUUUGGUUCAGUCUGUCACUAAUACUCGGUUCACGCAGGAGCAAAGGUAGGCUGGAUUUCAAAUGGUAGAAGGCCUGUGUUUCCAUAGUGCUUUUGCAAUGUAUUGCUAACAAAAACUUCCACUUAAGACAGGCAAUGCAAAGGGUUUUCAAUUUUUUUUCUACAUCCUGUUUGUAAGCAAGCAUUAAGUAUGCAUUUAGGGGCACACUGCAGCUAGAAAGGAAAAGCUUAACACCAGUGAUGUGAAUCCCAGAGGAACCCUCUGAGAAUAGCCAUGCGUAUUGAAUACGUUAAAUGACAACCAGCUCUUACGUACCUGCAUGAAUGUGGUAUUGCAUUUCUGACAGUAGUCUGUUUUUCUCUUUUUAGGAUUUACUGUGUGAGGCCAUUGUCUUGCAAAGUUUUCUGGAGUAGAAGUCUUCUAGAGGGAAGCUCUGAGAAAUGUCAGUCAUUCCUGAAUGAUUACUGGCUCAGAUUUCCAUCCUAAGCUUUCAUCCAUCACGCAGUACAGAGCAAUCUGUCAGCCUGUUCACAGGAGACAAAAAGGUCUCUUGGAAUUCAGGAAGAGUGAAGAGAUGAAAUCCUCAUAUUUGGGUUGGAUUUAAAAACGGGAGACAAGGUAAUUCAACCUGUGCACGCCAGCCCUCCACCACAAGCUGCAGUAAUGGAGUUGGCUCCAGUGAAAUGUGAGCAACAUGCUUAUUCCUUUAACGCCCUCUCUAAUAAUAUCAAACAGGGAAAAAAAAAGGGGGAAUGUGUUAAAGAGUCAGCCAUUUUUACUGAACUGAGCUUGGAUUUCACUGGAGAGGGAGUACUGCAUCGUGGAUGAGAACUAGAAAUUUCUGGAAGUGACCAUAAGAUGCAGAGGAUAUCUGGGAGAAACCUCUUUUAUCAUAUCUACAGCAUAUAUUCUUCAGCUGGCAUACAGAGUAGAGGAAGAUGUAGGUGGACUGCUAAUUCCUCUUAGAAGACCUGGUGAUGUCAUUCAAAAAUUGCUGGUCAUCUGUUCUGCACUCCGAGGU
This is a long non-coding RNA of Oxyura jamaicensis (ruddy duck), 4515 nucleotides long. RefSeq lists it as uncharacterized. The record is from RefSeq and is a predicted model, not a curated record. The transcript is spliced from 4 exons. NCBI's taxonomy places the organism in Eukaryota, Metazoa, Chordata, Aves, Anseriformes, Anatidae.